RNAcentral lists this ribosomal RNA (252 nucleotides) under uncultured bacterium. Its description in RNAcentral is "partial small subunit ribosomal RNA". It matches the Rfam family "Bacterial small subunit ribosomal RNA", at positions 26 to 287 of the family's 1533-position model. The record is from RNAcentral.
AGGACGAACGCUGGCGGCGUGCUUAACACAUGCAAGUGGAGCGACGAACCGGGGCUUGCCCCGGGCAGAGCCGCGAACGGGUGAGUAACACGUGGGUUACCUGCCUUGAUGACCGGGACAACCCGAGGAAACUCGGGCUAAUACCGGAUGUGCCCGCAAGGGGAAAGGAGCUUCGGCCUCCGCAUCAAGAUGGGCCCGCGGCCCAUUAGCUUGUUGGUGAGGUAACGGCUCACCAAGGCUUCGAUGGGUAGC